Molecule: ribosomal RNA, 458 nt
Filed under: Deefgea sp. D_35
Lineage: Bacteria; Pseudomonadati; Pseudomonadota; Betaproteobacteria; Neisseriales; Chitinibacteraceae
Description: bacterial SSU rRNA
Rfam family: Bacterial small subunit ribosomal RNA
Source: RNAcentral
CUGACGAGUGGCGAACGGGUGAGUAAUACAUCGGAAUGUACCCAGUCAUGGGGGAUAACGCUUCGAAAGGAGUGCUAAUACCGCAUACGCCCUGAGGGGGAAAGUGGGGGACGCGCAAGCGCCGUUGGGUUAAGUCCCGCAACGAGCGCAACCCUUGCCAUUAGUUGCUACCAUUCAGUUGAGCACUUUAAUGGGACUGCCGGUGACAAACCGGAGGAAGGUGGGGAUGACGUCAAGUCCUCAUGGCCCUUAUGACCAGGGCUUCACACGUCAUACAAUGGUCGGUACAGAGGGUCGCCAACCCGCGAGGGGGAGCCAAUCCCAGAAAACCGAUCGUAGUCCGGAUUGCACUCUGCAACUCGAGUGCAUGAAGUCGGAAUCGCUAGUAAUCGCGGAUCAGCAUGUCGCGGUGAAUACGUUCCCGGGCCUUGUACACACCGCCCGUCACACCAUGGGAG